Molecule: long non-coding RNA, 688 nt
Organism: Zea mays
Lineage: Eukaryota; Viridiplantae; Streptophyta; Magnoliopsida; Poales; Poaceae
Exons: 2
Source: RefSeq, a predicted model, not a curated record
AGUUUCACAAACACCAUUGCAUCCUUUCUCAUAUUUCCUCUCAUCAAUUUAACCCAACACUACAAACCUGACCAUCAUCGUGAACCAUGUCCUCCAACCCACAAAUCAUUGUGCAAGCACUAUGUGCCAUAGCUCCCAAACCCAAUACCUUAGAACCCUCUGUUGAUGGACGAAAAGAGGUGCGUACCAUGGAAAAUUUAGGGGGCAGUAUGCCACGGCGGAGUCUACGGGUGCGUCCAGGAAAAGAUGGACAUUUAGGCAUCGUCUCACUGAAACUAACAGAUGAAGAGAUUGCUGAGGACUUGUAUGCCAUGACCGGUGAGCUACCACGCGGACACCCUCGUCGGAGACUAUCCCAGGCACAAAUAAUGCUUAAUAAGCUGGUUCCUGGAGCACCCUUGGCCGGUAUGGCACCAGAGACUUACCCGAUGUGUCAAAAGAAGAACUAGCUUUCCUCGAUGGUACUCUAGUUCAUGCUACUACAUGUUGUGUUGUCUACAGAACCUAUAUUUACUUUAUAUUUAGUAUUCCUUAUAAAUCUAGUUGCUUACUUCAUUACAUGGGUGAGAAAAGUUGCAAAGGGCACUAACGGAAACAAAACAUACUAUCUGAUGAAUUCGUCUGCUUUUCAUGUACCAUGUUUUAGUCGAUGAAAUAUUAUUUAUUAAUUAGCAUGUGUUUUGGUUAA